GACGAACGCUGGCGGCGCGCCUAACACAUGCAAGUCGAACGAGAGAGAGGGAGCUUGCUUCCUCAAUCGAGUGGCGAACGGGUGAGUAACGCGUGAGGAACCUGCCUCAAAGAGGGGGACAACAGUUGGAAACGACUGCUAAUACCGCAUAAGCCCACGGCUCGGCAUCGAGCAGAGGGAAAAGGAGCAAUCCGCUUUGAGAUGGCCUCGCGUCCGAUUAGCUAGUUGGUGAGGUAAUGGCCCACCAAGGCAACGAUCGGUAGCCGGACUGAGAGGUUGAACGGCCACAUUGGGACUGAGACACGGCCCAGACUCCUACGGGAGGCAGCAGUGGGGAAUAUUGCACAAUGGGGGAAACCCUGAUGCAGCGACGCCGCGUGGAGGAAGAAGGUCUUCGGAUUGUAAACUCCUGUUGUUGAGGAAGAUAAUGACGGUACUC
Molecule: ribosomal RNA, 439 nt
Filed under: uncultured bacterium
Lineage: Bacteria
Description: bacterial SSU rRNA
Rfam family: Bacterial small subunit ribosomal RNA
Source: RNAcentral